CCACUUCAGCAGAUGUCCAAGGACCACUCAACUUGCCUGACAGUCCUUGAAUUAUAAUUCUUGGUCAAACUCUAAGAAACCAGCAGUGGAUGAUGAUAUAUUGACAUCAACCCUGAACAAAUGUUCAAGGCCAAUCAAGGAAAAGCUACAUCCAAGAAGACUA
Polypterus senegalus (gray bichir) is the source of this 163-nucleotide long non-coding RNA. RefSeq lists it as uncharacterized. The transcript is spliced from 3 exons. The record is from RefSeq and is a predicted model, not a curated record. NCBI's taxonomy places the organism in Eukaryota, Metazoa, Chordata, Cladistia, Polypteriformes, Polypteridae.